CACCCCCAGGACGGAUGACCUCCGUCUCUUGGGUGGUCUUGGUGGACUGUCCACUCUGCUUCACCCUUAGAUCACCUUUGUGGGGGGUCACCAGUGAGAGGUGGGCAGGCAACCCCAGGUUUUCCCCACUGGGAUUUCCUGGAAUUUAUUUCUGUCUUUCACUUCUUUUCUGACAAGGAAAUAUAUGCUUGGUGUUCAAAAUUCGAAUAGUAAUACGAGGUUGUCAAGUUAAAACAUCCCCCACUUCUAACGAUAACCACAGUUAGCAAGCAGUUCACCACGAGUUUCCUGAAUGUUUUUCUCAGUCCCCUGUGGCUUCUGACCUUGGAACGUGGGCAGUGGUGGGCUGCAAGCUCCCUCGGGCCCUGGGUAGGCAUCUAUCCCCCAGUGAUAUGUGAGGGUUCUCCACUAAGAGCCGGUCUUAGCCAUGUAGACUGUCUCUCUAACUGACAUCGCAGCACAGCCGUUUUUUUUUCUCUGCCGUUCUUUCUCCUGACAUCUGGGAGGAAAGCCACUACCGAGACAGCCUUCGUGUCUGUUGGGAGGAAAUCGGUGCUUCAUAAUCUGAUAACUGCAGUGUCCUGUGUGGUGUUCUCUUGAACCAAGCUGGGACCUCAUUGUUUCUGGUACACGGUGCAAUUUUGCAACAACUUCCUUCCAGUAACAUUUGUUAUGUCUCUUGGGUUUUGCAGCCACCCUGUAGUGGGGCCAGGGUGAAACCAACCGCUGGAGAAGGCAGCCCCCUAUCUUGGGGCUUCUGCAGUCCUGGCGGGAACCUAGAGCUCCACCUGGAGAUGGACGUCACUCAUCCAGGAACACUGUCCCUAGGUCCACGCUGCCCCAAUGUGGGGCACACACUCAGACCCAAAAGGAGAGACAGCCCACUAUGCAGACAGGGUGUCACGAAUGCUGUGACGAUUGGACGUGUCAUCCCAUCUCCCUAGUCACGGUCUGUCAUGUAUAUACACAGGAGAAGCCCGGUGGAGCACUGUCGAUAUGCAAAUUUGAGCAAAUUACUCCAGCCCCUGUGCACCUAAGGUCGCGCUGCUGUAAAAGGAGAAAACACCAUGGUGGGGGCGGGGGGAAUCCAGGAAGAUCUUGA
Molecule: long non-coding RNA, 1102 nt
Filed under: Rhinolophus ferrumequinum (greater horseshoe bat)
Lineage: Eukaryota; Metazoa; Chordata; Mammalia; Chiroptera; Rhinolophidae
Description: lncRNA (ENSRFEG00010020277.1)
Source: RNAcentral